UAGUUUCGCGCCUUCGUUGUUCAUCCAACUUCGUGUGGGCAGGAGAAAUGGCUUCCGAAGUUCUGCUUCUAGCUCUUCUUGCAGCGAAUUGGAAGCCGGUAAUGAUGGCCUGGACAUGUGAAAGACGAAAUAUGUUAAAUGCUGGACUGUGGAGGACAUGAAGAACUGGCUCACUUUCCAGGGAUUUAAAGAGGAAGCAGCCCUUUUUUCAAGCUGAACACACACCUGCAAAGAGGGCCAAAAAACCCUGCUCUGGAUCUAGGGCUGAGUCAACAUGUAAUACAGCAGAGUAAGGUACAUGUAAUCCCUUAACCUAUUGACGUCCAGUGUGCCCAUGGGGAGCCACACCCUUUCUACGCCUUGUGACGUCAUCA
This is a long non-coding RNA of Stylophora pistillata, 374 nucleotides long. The record is from RefSeq and is a predicted model, not a curated record. NCBI's taxonomy places the organism in Eukaryota, Metazoa, Cnidaria, Anthozoa, Scleractinia, Pocilloporidae.